AAAACAUCUCAAAUAGAUAUUACCCGAAAAUAAAAGAUCUAAGUGUGUUUUAAGUUAUUAGACUAUUUUGUUACACUCUGUAGCAUUAGCUGUUAAAAUUAUAUCUUAGUGGUGAAAGGCCUUCAAUUUUAUUGAUAGCUGGUUAAAUGUUAAAUAUAUUAAGUUUAUAAGAAACUUACAAAGUGACAAGAUUUUGUAAGGUAUAAUUUCUUGUGUAUACUGUAUAAGGCUAAUAAUUAAUAGUUAGUGGCGAAAUUUGAUUACUUAAAUACUUUUACAGCAUAGUAAUUACCUAACAACAUUUUAUUUUGUUACCUAAUUCUUUAUAAAAUAGAUAAUGUAUAAAUAAGUAGAUAGUAUAAAUUUAAAUUAAGGAACUCGGCAAUUAAAACAUACGACUGUUUAACAAAAACAUAGCCGGUAGCUAAUAAAUUAUCGGUGAUACCUGCCCAGUGAUUUUUAACGGCCGCAGUACUAUGACUGUGCAAAGGUAGCAUAAUCAUUUGGCUUUUAAUUGAAGUCUGGUAUGAACGGAUAAACGUAUGCAAGCUGUCUCCAUUAUAAAUUUAUUAAAAUUAUUUAUAGGGUGAAAAUACCCUAGAUAUUAAAAAAAGACGAGAAGACCCUUAGAAUUUUAAGAAUAAUCAGCAAUCGUAGUUGGUAUAAUUUUUGUUGGGGCAACAUUUUUUCAAUUGAACAAAAACUUUAAAUAAUGACAUAACAAGUAAGUUUUAUAAAGUAAAAAUUACCUAAGGGAUAACAGCAUAAUUUUAAGUAAAGAUUGUGACCUCGAUGUUGGACUAGGAACUAUUAAGGCUAGUCGUUUUAAUACAAUAGGUUCUGUUCGAACUUUAUUUCCUA
RNAcentral lists this ribosomal RNA (861 nucleotides) under Montenegrina skipetarica pifkoi. RNAcentral's name for it is "partial 16S ribosomal RNA". The stretch from base 355 to 600 matches the Rfam family "Archaeal large subunit ribosomal RNA", at positions 1787 to 2143 of the family's 2987-position model. Lineage: Eukaryota; Metazoa; Mollusca; Gastropoda; Stylommatophora; Clausiliidae. The record is from RNAcentral.